Molecule: unclassified non-coding RNA, 444 nt
Filed under: Chamaecrista venulosa
Lineage: Eukaryota; Viridiplantae; Streptophyta; Magnoliopsida; Fabales; Fabaceae
Description: partial external transcribed spacer
Source: RNAcentral
ACGGUUGGCAUGCUAUCCCAACUCAGUAUAUUGUGAUCCUCGGAGCUGCAUGGCCCGAGUGGUUUGGUUGCUUGCCUGUCCCUUUGUUGCUUGCGUCGCGUACCCGUCCGUCCCCCUUCCCUUCGAAGGAAUGGAAAGAAGGAAAGGAAGGGGGAAGGAUCGACCCGACAUCGUCCCUCGUCCGUCCGGCGCCUCGCAAGGGGCUUUUCGGAGGACAAAGAAGCGGCUCCUGCGAUCCACUCGCGUUGGCUCGUCCGACGAGUUUGGCCCACAAGAUGACUCCGUUGCUCUCUCGGAUGCGGUGCAUGCCGAGGACUCCCGGGGGCCCCGUUCCCCGCACGUCCCGAACGAAUGAUUCGACUCGAUUCUCCCGAGAGACGCACGCGUCCGACCCCUUUUGGGGGCCGGUGGCGAGUCGUCGCGGAGGGUUGCUACCUGGUUGAU